UCUCUUUGAAUCUGCGAACGGCUCCGCAAACCAGUUGUAAACUAUCGCAAGCACGCCCCAGCGGCGGUCGCAAGGCUGACGCUGGGGUAAUAAGGAUAACCCUGGUAAUUCUGAGGCUAAUACAAGAAAGUAACCCCUGGUCGACCGGCAACGGAAAAUCGGGGAACGUGUGAUACAGCGCAAAGAUUGCUGGGAAUAGGUGCACGUUCAGACCACCAUACCAAACAGUGGCCGUAGCUUCGGCGAAAGCUUCCUGGGUGGCUCUUGCUGUGUGCUUCUGACCUAUCAACUUGAUGGCAGCGUAACGGACAUGCUAUGGUUACAACGGGUACAGAGGAUAAGGGUUCGAUCCUGGAGAGUGGGCCUGAGAGAUU
Molecule: ribosomal RNA, 374 nt
Filed under: Physarum pusillum
Lineage: Eukaryota; Evosea; Eumycetozoa; Physariida; Physaraceae
Description: SSU rRNA
Rfam family: Eukaryotic small subunit ribosomal RNA
Source: RNAcentral